GGCGGACGGGUGAGUAAUGUAUAGGAACUUGCCUAAUAGUGGGGGACAACGUGUGGAAACGCACGCUAAUACCGCAUACGCUCUACGGAGGAAAGCGGGGGAUCUUCGGACCUCGUGCUACUAGAUGGGCCUAUAUUGGAUUAGCUAGUUGGUAGGGUAAAGGCCUACCAAGGCGACGAUCCAUAGCUGGUUUGAGAGAAUGAUCAGCCACACUGGGACUGAGACACGGCCCAG
RNAcentral lists this ribosomal RNA (234 nucleotides) under uncultured bacterium. RNAcentral describes it as "partial 16S ribosomal RNA". It matches the Rfam family "Bacterial small subunit ribosomal RNA", at positions 97 to 334 of the family's 1533-position model. The record is from RNAcentral.